Molecule: ribosomal RNA, 439 nt
Filed under: uncultured bacterium
Lineage: Bacteria
Description: partial 16S ribosomal RNA
Rfam family: Bacterial small subunit ribosomal RNA
Source: RNAcentral
CCUACGGGAGGCUGCAGUGGGGGAUAUUGCACAAUGGGGGACACCCUGAUGCAGCGACGCCGCGUGUGGGAAGACGGUCCUCUGGAUUGUAAACCACUGUCCCCAGGACGAGGAUGACGGUACCUGGGGAGUAAGCUCCGGCUAACUACGUGCCAGCAGCCGCGGUAAUACGUAGGGAGCACGCGUUGUCCGGAAUUACGGGGGGGAAAGGGAGCGUAGGGGGGAUGGCAAGUUGGGUGUUAAAUCUACCCGCUCAACUGGGAAUCGCACUCAAAACUGCUAUUCUUGAGUGAAGUAGAGGGCGGCGGAAUUCCUAGUGUAGCGGGGAAAAGCGGAGAUAUUAGGAGGAACACCAGUGGCGAAGGCGGCCGGCUGGGCUUUUACUGACGCUGAGGCUCGAAAGUGUGGGGAGCAAACAGGAUUAGAUACCCGAGUAGUC